This 246-nucleotide ribosomal RNA is filed under the name uncultured bacterium. RNAcentral describes it as "partial 16S ribosomal RNA". It matches the Rfam family "Bacterial small subunit ribosomal RNA", at positions 523 to 769 of the family's 1533-position model. The record is from RNAcentral.
AUACGAGGGGGCUAGCGUUGUUCGGAAUUACUGGGCGUAAAGCGCACGUAGGCGGCUUUGUAAGUCAGAGGUGAAAGCCUGGAGCUCAACUCCAGAACUGCCUUUGAGACUGCAUCGCUUGAAUCCAGGAGAGGUCAGUGGAAUUCCGAGUGUAGAGGUGAAAUUCGUAGAUGUUCGGAAGAACACCAGUGGCGAAGGCGGCUGACUGGACUGGUAUUGACGCUGAGGUGCGAAAGCGUGGGGAGC